GCCCGCUCAGAAACUCGAAAGGCAUUCGACGGGGGCCCGCACAAGCGGAGGAGCAUGUGGUUUAAUUCGAUGAUACGCGAGGAACCUUACCUGGGCUCGAACGUAAGAUGACUGUAGGUGAAAGCUUACAUCUCUUCGGAGCAUUUUACGAGGUGCUGCAUGGUUGUCGUCAGCUCGUGCCGUGAGGUGUCGGGUUAAGUCCCAUAACGAGCGCAACCCUACCUUUAGCUGCCAUCAGGUAAUGCUGGGGACUCUAAAGGAACUGCCUACGCAAGUAGUGAGGAAGGCGGGGAUGACGUCAAAUCAGCACGGCCCUUACGUCCAGGGCUACACACGUGCUACAAUGGCCGAUACAGAGGGCAGCUACCUGGUGACAGGAUGCAAAUCUCCAAAGUCGGUCUCAGUUCGGAUCGGAGUCUGCAACCCGACUCCGUGAAGUUGGAUUCGCUAGUAAUCGCGCAUCAGCCAUGGCGCGGUGAAUACGUUCCCGGGCCUU
This 496-nucleotide ribosomal RNA is filed under the name uncultured Sphingobacteriales bacterium. RNAcentral's name for it is "bacterial SSU rRNA". It matches the Rfam family "Bacterial small subunit ribosomal RNA", at positions 903 to 1382 of the family's 1533-position model. The record is from RNAcentral. Lineage: Bacteria; Pseudomonadati; Bacteroidota; Sphingobacteriia; Sphingobacteriales.